This 694-nucleotide ribosomal RNA is filed under the name uncultured Bacteroidales bacterium. RNAcentral describes it as "bacterial SSU rRNA". It matches the Rfam family "Bacterial small subunit ribosomal RNA", at positions 32 to 715 of the family's 1533-position model. The record is from RNAcentral. Lineage: Bacteria; Pseudomonadati; Bacteroidota; Bacteroidia; Bacteroidales.
AACGCUAGCUACAGGCUUAACACAUGCAAGUCGAGGGGCAGCAUGAAGUCAGCUUGCUGACUUUGAUGGCGACCGGCGCACGGGUGAGUAACGCGUAUCCAACCUUCCCCUUACUCAGGAAUAGCCCGUUGAAAGACGGAUUAAUGCCUGAUGUUCUCAUUUUCUGGCAUCAUGGAAUGAGCAAAGAUUCAUCGGUAAGGGAUGGGGAUGCGUAUGAUUAGCUUGUUGGCGGGGUAACGGCCCACCAAGGCGACGAUCAUUAGGGGUUCUGAGAGGAAGGUCCCCCACACUGGAACUGAGACACGGUCCAGACUCCUACGGGAGGCAGCAGUGAGGAAUAUUGGUCAAUGGAGGCAACUCUGAACCAGCCAAGUAGCGUGCAGGAAGACGGCCCUAUGGGUUGUAAACUGCUUUUAUGCGGGGAUAAAUGAGCCUACGCGUAGGUUUUUGCAGGUACCGCAUGAAUAAGGACCGGCUAAUUCCGUGCCAGCAGCCGCGGUAAUACGGAAGGUCCAGGCGUUAUCCGGAUUUAUUGGGUUUAAAGGGAGCGUAGGCGGCCUGUUAAGCGUGUUGUGAAAUGUAGUGGCUCAACCUCUGCACUGCAGCGCGAACUGGCGGGCUUGAGUUGGCUGAAAGUAUGCGGAAUUCGUGGUGUAGCGGUGAAAUGCUUAGAUAUCACGAAGAACUCCGAUUG